AUGUCAAUGUCCAGUUCAGCCUCUCGCCCCUCAUGGCCGCUGUAUGGUGCAGUGCCGAUGAGCAGGUGCACGGACUGCCCACAGAUCGCGCCAUUGAAGCGUUUGACAACCAAGUCGGGGGACAAUGGAAACUAUGGGCACGAAUUUGUGAAAUGCGAGAGAAAACCAGAGGCGGGCAAGAAUCUGAAGAAAUGCAAGCAUUUUGAGUGGCUGGAUGAAUACAUUGAGAGGCUUCAAUUGGAGGGCUCAACUGAUUUGAGGCAGGAGGAAACCUAA
RNAcentral lists this ribosomal RNA (276 nucleotides) under Triticum aestivum (bread wheat). RNAcentral describes it as "partial small subunit ribosomal RNA". The record is from RNAcentral. Lineage: Eukaryota; Viridiplantae; Streptophyta; Magnoliopsida; Poales; Poaceae.